GCUUCUUUGAAGCUGGGGACAAUAUCCCUGCU
This 32-nucleotide non-coding RNA is filed under the name Geobacter sulfurreducens PCA. The record is from RNAcentral. Lineage: Bacteria; Pseudomonadati; Thermodesulfobacteriota; Desulfuromonadia; Geobacterales; Geobacteraceae.